Long non-coding RNA from Schistocerca piceifrons (Central American locust), 2120 nucleotides. RefSeq lists it as uncharacterized. NCBI's taxonomy places the organism in Eukaryota, Metazoa, Arthropoda, Insecta, Orthoptera, Acrididae. The record is from RefSeq and is a predicted model, not a curated record. The transcript is spliced from 8 exons.
GAGCAAGUGGAUAACGAGCUGGCGGCUACCGGCUUGGCUGCCUCUGCGGCGCCGGAGAGGACAGUGCGCAACGAAUUUUCGACGUCUCCAGGAAGACAGGGAAUUCUAAAUAUUGACAGAUCUCAAGAUGUUAACAUCUGUCUUUAAACAGCACCCAGAGAACCAAUACCUAAGCAGCUGUGUUAUUUGGAAUUUGUCAGUCACAUCACCACAGAUAUUCGAUACCUUUCUCAAGGAGGCAACAUUCCAGCCGAUAGAUGUUCUAGAGUUGCAGAUUCAACAUGUCUUCAGCUACGAGCUCUUUAGCUGUUAAUUAUUAUCAGAAUCCCACCUCAGUGAGACAAGGCGUUUCCGCUGCCUUGUUGCCAGGAGGAUCUAAAUGUUUGAUGCAUAACUACGGGAAAUUUAAUUUAAUCUGGCUUCACCUGCAUAUGGAUUCAACUUCUUGCUCUUAGGUAACCAAUGCACAAGAAAUGAAGAAACAACCAACGCUUUGCAUGGACGAGAACAGAAAACUGGCUAAAAUGAGUGCAUCUGACUGGUGUACGAAACAGUCUCCCAGUAAUGCGUCCUGAUUCAGCUCCGUCUUCCAUCUCUUAGCCAUCAUGGUACGUUUUACUCAAUAUGAGGAGAUGUUAAAUGAAAGUGAUACCUCUCUACAGCUGUUGCUUCUUGAACAUAAAUGACGAGACAGUCGACGCCUUGCAUUAAGAAGUGUGAAAAACUGCCUAAAGGGAGAGCAUCAUUCUCUGACUGGUGCAAAAAAUAGUCUCCCAGUAAUAUUCCCUGAUCUGGCUCUGGCGUCCUUGUCUGUAGCGUUAGCAAGGAUGAAAUGUGUCCACAACAUGAGCAGGUUCCAGAUGUCUGUUUGUGGGAUGGAGUUCCAUGCGUGUGGCACUUGAUUGCUGAGUACAGGAACAGUUAACCCGGGCUGUGAAUGACGCUGGAGUUACCAUCUGAUGAUGUCCCACAUGUUUUCGAUUGGAGACAGAUCUGGCCACGGUGACAUAUCGACACUCUGUACAGCACGGUGCAUUACAACAGCGAUUUUAAGGACCUAUAAAUGGAAAGGAGGCGGAAGGGGUCAAUGAAAAGGGCAGUUGAACCAGCGAUGAAAGUGUCACCGCUAUUAGAAGCCAAUAGAACUUACGGAAUACCAUUUACGAAUAUGUACCAACGUUAUCAGAAACAAAAAUAUAACACUGCCGGCCGGAGUAGCCGUGCGGUUCUAGGCGCUACAGUCUGGAGCCGAGCGACCGCUACGGUCGCAGUUUGGAAUCCUGCCUCGGGCAUGGAUGUGUGUGAUGCCCUUAGGUUAGUUAGGUUUAAUUAGUUCUAAGUUCUAGGCGACUGAUGACCUCAGAAUUUAAGUCGCACAGUGCUCAGAGCCAUUUGAGCUAAUAUAACAUUAUGAAUAUCACUAACCUUUUACCAAACAAAUGCAUGUGGUAACCGUGUUGGACGCUUAACUAUAUUUUCUAAGGAUUUGGAAAUCUCUCUUUCCAAGAGAAUAAUACAUAUGGGUAAAGGGGAUUUGGACUGACAUAGAAAGAUGUGCGGAUUGCAGCCUUCAUACUAGAUGGCAGGAACAACAUCAAUCACCCCUGGAAAGACAUAGGUGGAAAGGACUGGUGUAUUACAUUCUGAAAUUGAGAAAAUACUUUGUUGAGAAAACCAAAGGGUCUCUCGAAAGCAAGAACAGCCGUAGUAUGUGGAGAGACUGUAAACAGCACUUCUACAUUUUAAAUGAAUUUCUUACAAAUCUCUCCCUGCCUGACAAACCAACUCUUUCCACUUAACAAAAGACGAACGAAGGUCAUUGGAGUGAAAGGAACAAAAGAGUUGCCUUCUUUAACAAUCGCUGAAAGAGGUGAGAACGUUACGGUUGUUGCUUCUUACAACGAAGCAGGUGCGUAUUUAACACUAAUUACUACCUUCAGGGACCAGAGACACAGGUCGGAGCUGACAGUUUACUUGCCCAGUGAGUCCAUUUCAUGCACGAGUGAAAGUGGAUGGAUAAAUUGCAUGGGGGCUUAAUUAUUUAAAUAUGAAAUGCAAAUACUUUUUAAAUUUUUGUCGCUCUAUGUCCGAUUACGAAGUCUCAUAAACGAUUGGCCCUG